GGACUACCAGGGUAUCUAAUCCUGUUUGCUCCCCACGCUUUCGCGCCUCAGCGUCAGUUACAGACCAGAAAGUCGCCUUCGCCACUGGUGUUCCUCCACAUCUCUACGCAUUUCACCGCUACACAUGGAAUUCCACUUUCCUCUUCUGCACUCAAGUCCCCCAGUUUCCAAUGACCCUCCACGGUUGAGCCGUGGGCUUUCACAUCAGACUUAAGGGACCGCCUGCGCGCGCUUUACGCCCAAUAAUUCCGGACAACGCUUGCCACCUACGUAUUACCGCGGCUGCUGGCACCU
This 294-nucleotide unclassified non-coding RNA is filed under the name uncultured Caryophanaceae bacterium. Its description in RNAcentral is "uncultured Planococcaceae bacterium contains 16S-23S intergenic spacer region". Lineage: Bacteria; Bacillati; Bacillota; Bacilli; Caryophanales; Caryophanaceae. The record is from RNAcentral.